CAAUAGCGUAUAUUUAAGUUGUUGCAGUUAAAAAGCUCGAAGUUGGAUUUCGGAUGGGAUUUGCCGGUCCGUCGUUACGAUGUGCACUGGCCAGUCCUAUCUUGUUGUCGGGGACUAGCUCCUUGGAUUCACUUCCUGGGACUAGGAGCUGACGAGGUUACUUUGAGUAAAUUAGAGUGUUCAAAGCAAGCCUACGCUCUGAAUACAUUAGCAUGGAAUAACACGAUAGGACUCUGGCUUAUCUUGUUGGUCUGUGAGACCAGAGUAAUGAUUAAGAGGGACAGUCGGGGACAUUCGUAUUUCAUUGUCAGAGGUGAAAUUCUUGGAUUUAUGAAAGACGAACUUCUGCGAAAGCAUUUGUCAAGGAUGUUUUCAUUA
This 378-nucleotide ribosomal RNA is filed under the name uncultured eukaryote. RNAcentral describes it as "partial 18S ribosomal RNA". It matches the Rfam family "Eukaryotic small subunit ribosomal RNA", at positions 592 to 975 of the family's 1831-position model. The record is from RNAcentral.